This 808-nucleotide ribosomal RNA is filed under the name uncultured organism. RNAcentral describes it as "bacterial SSU rRNA". It matches the Rfam family "Bacterial small subunit ribosomal RNA", at positions 22 to 819 of the family's 1533-position model. The record is from RNAcentral.
GCUCAGAACGAACGCUGGCGGCGCGUUUUAAGCAUGCAAGUCGAACGGUAACUGUCCUUCGGGACAGCUAGAGUGGCGGACGGGUGAGUAACACGUAGGUGAUCUGCCCUUGAGUUGGGGAUAGCCCAUGGAAACAUGGGGUAAUACCGAAUACGCUCCGGAUGCUAUGGCAACUGGAGGAAAAGCGCUUCGGCGCUGCUCGAGGAUGAGCCUGCGGCUGAUUAGUUAGUUGGUGGGGUAACGGCCUACCAAGGCGACGAUCAGUAGCCGGCCUGAGAGGGUGAACGGCCACACUGGGACUGAGAUACGGCCCAGACUCCUACGGGAGGCAGCAGCUAAGAAUCUUCUGCAAUGGACGAAAGUCUGACAGAGCGACGCCGCGUGGGUGAAGAAGGCCGGAAGGUUGUAAAACCCUUUUCUAUUCGAGGAAUAAUCGCAGGAGGCAAUGCCUGCGAGAUGACGGUAGGGUAGGAAUAAGCCCCGGCCAAUUACGUGCCAGCAGCCGCGGUAACACGUAUGGGGCGAGCGUUGUUCGGAAUCAUUGGGCGUAAAGGGCGCGUAGGCGGAUAUGCAAGCUUGGUGUGAAAGACCGCAGCUCAACUGCGGGACCGCGCUGAGAACUGCAUGUCUAGAGUUCAAGAGGGGAAGCUGGAAUUCCAGGUGUAGGGGUGAAAUCUGUAGAGAUCUGGAAGAACAUCAGUGGCGAAGGCGAGCUUCUGGCUAUGAACUGACACUUGAGGCGCGAAAGCGUGGGGAGCAAACAGGAUUCGAUACCCUGGUAGUCCACGCUGUAAACGAUGUGCACUAG